Oncorhynchus keta (chum salmon) is the source of this 362-nucleotide long non-coding RNA. RefSeq lists it as uncharacterized. The transcript is spliced from 3 exons. Lineage: Eukaryota; Metazoa; Chordata; Actinopteri; Salmoniformes; Salmonidae. The record is from RefSeq and is a predicted model, not a curated record.
AGUACAGGAGGUUACUACAGCCACAUAUACAGUACAGGAGGUUACUACAGCCACAUAUACAGUACAGGAGGUUACUACAGCCACAUAUACAGUACAGGAGGUUACCCACAGUACAGGAGGUUACCACAGCCACAUAUACAGUACAGGAGGUUACACAGCCACAUAUACAGUACAGGAGGUUACUACAGCCACAUAUACAGUACAGGAGGUUACCACAGCCGCAUAUACAGGAGGUUACCACAGCCACAUAUACAGGAGGUUACCACAGCCACAUAUACAGUACAGGAGGUUACCACAGCCACAUAUACAGUACAGGAGGUUACUACAGCCACAUAUACAGUACAGGAGGUUACCACAGCCAC